UGGGGCGUCGGCAAGUGGUAAGCCAUCGGGUUUUGGUCCCGACAUUCGCAGGUUCGAAUCCUGCCGCCCCAACCA
This 75-nucleotide transfer RNA is filed under the name Myxococcales bacterium. RNAcentral's name for it is "tRNA-Gln". It matches the Rfam family "tRNA". Rfam says of the family: Transfer RNA (tRNA) molecules are approximately 80 nucleotides in length. Their secondary structure includes four short double-helical elements and three loops (D, anti-codon, and T loops). Lineage: Bacteria; Pseudomonadati; Myxococcota; Myxococcia; Myxococcales. The record is from RNAcentral. RNAcentral also lists the same sequence under 1 other name.